This 440-nucleotide ribosomal RNA is filed under the name uncultured bacterium. RNAcentral's name for it is "partial 16S ribosomal RNA". It matches the Rfam family "Bacterial small subunit ribosomal RNA", at positions 338 to 795 of the family's 1533-position model. The record is from RNAcentral.
CCUACGGGUGACAGCAGUAGGGAAUAUUGCUCAAUGGGGGAAACCCUGAAGCAGCAACGCCGCGUGGAGGAUGAAGGUUUUUGGAUUGUAAACUCCUUUUGUUAGAGAAGAUAAUGACGGUAUCUAACGAAUAAGCACCGGCUAACUCCGUGCCAGCAGCCGCGGUAAUACGGAGGGUGCAAGCGUUACUCGGAAUCACUGGGCGUAAAGGGCGUGUAGGCGGGAUAGCAAGUCAGAUGUGAAAUCCUAUGGCUUAACCAUAGAACUGCAUUUGAAACUGUUAUUCUAGAGUAUGGGAGAGGUAGGUGGAAUUCUUGGUGUAGGGGUAAAAUCCGUAGAGAUCAAGAGGAAUACUCAUUGCGAAGGCGACCUGCUAGAACAUAACUGACGCUGAUGCGCGAAAGCGUGGGGAGCAAACAGGAUUAGAUACCCGUGUAGUC